GGGCCCUUAGCUCAUUUGGUAGAGCGCCGCGUUUGCAACGCGGAGGCGACCGGUUCGAGUCCGGUAGGGUCCACCA
This 76-nucleotide transfer RNA is filed under the name Parcubacteria group bacterium CG10_big_fil_rev_8_21_14_0_10_36_14. RNAcentral's name for it is "tRNA-Ala". It matches the Rfam family "tRNA". Rfam says of the family: Transfer RNA (tRNA) molecules are approximately 80 nucleotides in length. Their secondary structure includes four short double-helical elements and three loops (D, anti-codon, and T loops). The record is from RNAcentral.